RNAcentral lists this ribosomal RNA (245 nucleotides) under uncultured bacterium. Its description in RNAcentral is "partial 16S ribosomal RNA". It matches the Rfam family "Bacterial small subunit ribosomal RNA", at positions 524 to 768 of the family's 1533-position model. The record is from RNAcentral.
UACGUAGGGCGCAAGCGUUGUCCGGAAUUAUUGGGCGUAAAGAGCUCGUAGGCGGCUUGUCACGUCGAUUGUGAAAGCCCGAGGCUUAACCUCGGGUCUGCAGUCGAUACGGGCUAGCUAGAGUGUGGUAGGGGAGAUCGGAAUUCCUGGUGUAGCGGUGAAAUGCGCAGAUAUCAGGAGGAACACCGGUGGCGAAGGCGGAUCUCUGGGCCAUUACUGACGCUGAGGAGCGAAAGCGUGGGGAG